AAUCCCAGCACUUUGGGAGGCCGAGGCGGGCGGAUCACGAGGUCAGGAGAUCGAGACCAUCCUGGCUAACAAGGUGAAACCCCGUCUCCACUAAAAAUACAAAAAAUUAGCCGGGCGUGGUGGCGGGCGCCUGUAGUCCCAGCUACUCGGGAGGCUGAGGCAGGAGAAUGGCGUGAACCCAGGAGGUGGAGCUUGCAGUGAGCCGAGAUUGCGCCACUGCAGU
Molecule: long non-coding RNA, 223 nt
Filed under: Homo sapiens (human)
Lineage: Eukaryota; Metazoa; Chordata; Mammalia; Primates; Hominidae
Description: HSALNT0403232
Source: RNAcentral